UGUGUACUCCCUCCGUUCCAAAAUACUUGACUUCCAUUUGUCCAAAAAUGGAUGUACCUAUAUACUAAAACAUGUCUAGAUACAUAUAUAUUUUGACAAAUAGAAGGCAUGUAUUGUGCAACAGAGGGAGUAGAAU
Molecule: non-coding RNA, 136 nt
Organism: Triticum aestivum (bread wheat)
Lineage: Eukaryota; Viridiplantae; Streptophyta; Magnoliopsida; Poales; Poaceae
Source: Rfam